UGGGAAUAAUUGUCCACUUGUUCGGCAUCAUAUCCCUUUUCUGAACCAUUAGUGCCGGAUGGAGCCUUCAACCUUUGCAUAAAAUCAGUGGCCCCACAUGAUUUCAGAAAUAUGCUUGCAUCAAUUUGGUUCCACAACACCAAUACUUCGCGUAGCAUCAAUGGUAUAUAGGUAAGCAAAAAUCUAUCCAUAUAUUGUUUCUCGGAUGAUGUUUUUCUACUAUACUUCAUCCGUUUCUAAAUACAAGUCCUUUUAUAAAUUUCAAUACAGAUUACAUACGGAUGUAUAUCGACAUAUUUAGAGUGUAGAUUCACUCAUUUUGCUCCGUAUGUAGUCUAUAUUAGAAUCUGUAAAAAAACUUAUAUUUAGGAACAGAGGGAGUAAUAGAUAGUAGAGAAAAACAGACCUAAUAAAGAAUACAAAGAGAGAGAAAACUAUUUAGCUACACUUCAGUCGACUGAAUUGGCUUUUGGGUCANNNNNNNNNNNNNNNNNNNNNNNNNNNNNNNNNNNNNNNNNNNNNNNNNNNNNNNNNNNNNNNNNNNNNNNNNNNNNNNNNNNNNNNNNNNNNNNNNNNNNNNNNNNNNNNNNNNNNNNNNNNNNNNNNNNNNNNNNNNNNNNNNNNNNNNNNNNNNNNNNNNNNNNNNNNNNNNNNNNNNNNNNNNNNNNNNNNNNNNNNNNNNNNNNNNNNNNNNNNNNNNNNNNNNNNNNNNNNNNNNNNNNNNNNNNNNNNNNNNNNNNNNNNNNNNNNNNNNNNNNNNNNNNGGGAACGGGGGGCUAGAGGGAUGGUCGGGGCGGCGGCGGACCGGCGGUGAGGAGUGGUUUCAGGGAGGGUGGGGCGGCGAGGCGGCGCCGGAGCGCCGCCAGCCGCGGGCGGCGGUGGCCGGCGGUUCGGUCGGUGGUGGCUGGCGGCUCAAGGGGGCGGAGGCUAAAGAUGAACUGCAGGCCUUUGAUUUCGCAUCCAACGGCUGGAAAAUCGACUGCCCAGAGAUGAAAAACUCAGCUGACUGAUUUCUAGCCAUUCCUGAGAAAAAAGAACCCACCAAUGAUGCAAAUUCCUCUCCAAUCCAUAGUAGUAACAAGUACCAAAGUUAAAAUAGUCAUGUUUUCAAUUGAAUAACGGUCAAUACAGAAGUAGCAUUUCAUAAUAAAAACAUGACAGUGAACACACUAAACUACCUACAAAAAUUAGACAAGUGCAUUAUUGAUUCCAACAUGUAAACAUUGCACAUUCUUGCAACUUCUACGCUUACUUAGUAGUCACACUAUUACUAGGGCUGCUCACCUUGCCAAGCCCAAACAAUGUCUUUCAAAGCCGGUCUCAUAUCAUGUUUAACCUUCUGAUACUCGAGAGUAUCACCAUUGGUCUUCCUGAUUUCCACCAGAUGAAAAUUUGGUGCAAUCUGAAAUAUCUCGGUAUCUAUGGACAUUACGCCUUUCCUUCCCGGUUGCAAGCUCUGCAUCUUCAACAACCCACCGUCUCUCUUCAUGAGUCUUAGCCGCAAGCGCUUUGCAAUAUCUUCAAGCUUUGUGAUGAUUGUUGCAGCUGUGUUGGUAGAUGUGAAUUUGGACUCUUUGUUGGACUUAUCCUCAAACAUGCCAGAGAGAUCAAACCCAGAAGAAAGAGAAAUGAUGUCAAAAGCAUUCAAGUUAGUGAGCUCUGUUGCUUCUUGUAUUGUCUCGGUUGUACAGCUACUGAAUGGAUCACAAGUCGGAUCCAUGUCAACAGCAACAAUGCCCUCCGUUGGUGUGUUAUAGCUAAUCAGUCCCUUGUCAAGGCCUGUCCGGAACCAAGAAUUGUCCAAGAUCUCUGAAAAGGAGAUCCGUGUACCGGGGUUCGGAUCAAGAAUACGCCUCAGAAGCCUCCGGGCAUCUGAAGAAAACCAGCUUGGCCAUUUGAGUUCUGCUUUGUAAAUCUUCUUAUACAUGUCCAUCAAAUUCUUGUCCUGAAAAGGGAGAUAACCAGCCAACAAUACAUACAAGAUGACUCCACAAGCCCAGAUGUCAGCUUUUGCACCAUCAUAUCCUUUCUUACUAAUCAGUUCCGGAGCAACAUAUGCAGGGGUACCACAAGUUGUGUGAAUCAGCCCAUCUUGUCUCUUGCAUUCUGCAAGUGCACUCAGACCAAAGUCAGAGAUCUUUAAAUUGCGGUUCUCAUCAAGAAGAAGAUUUUCAGGCUUCAGGUCACGGUGAUAGACGCCUCGGCUGUGACAGAAGUCAACCGCACUAUUGAGCUGUUGGAAGUACUUGCGAGCAACAUCUUCUUUCAGCCUUCCUCGUUGAACCUUGUUGAACAGCUCGCCCCCCUUCACAUACUCUAGCACAAAAAAUAUCUUGGUUUUGGUGGCCAUCACCUCAUACAAUUGGACAAUGUUUGGAUGUUUCACCAACUUCAUUACAGAUAUCUCUCGCCUUACUUGAUCCAUAAGCCCACACUUGAAGAUCUUCUCUUUGUCGAUCACCUUGAUGGCAACGCUCUGUGAAGUCUUGAGACUACGACCAUAGUAAACUUUAGCAAAGCUCCCUUGCCCCAGCAGUCUUCCCAUCUCAUAUCUCUCCAUCAAGAUAUUUCCCUUCUUCUCUACCAUCUUGGCCAGUUCUUAUGUACACAAAAGGCAGUGAUGUUGUAAGUUGAGGUGGUCAGAACUGAUCAGGGGCACUCAAUGAUGUGGACAACACCUGCAGAUGAUCAAUUCGUUUCAACCAUCUCCACCAAGAUGGUAGGUGGUCCAUGGAGCAUCCUGCGUAUGCCCAUGGAGCAACUCUUGUAUUUCAGUGUCUUCAAAAGCUAGACUGUCAGUUCCCAACCAAGGUAGUCCUCUACCACACAAGCACAUCUUCCGGCAUUCCUGUGGAGGAGAUAUUUUCCUUCGCACUGAAAGACUAAUACUGCAAGGAGGAAACACACGAAUGAUUAGGUACGUAACUACUAAAUAGCUUAGAAUAUUUUUUAAUAAAUAAAAACACUUGAACGAGGCAAACUUUCCAGUUUUUACGCAUAUGAAUGGUAUUUAUUACUUUCCAGAAGAAUCCAGAAAGCAAAUUCUUGCCUCUUAAAGAAAAAGAAAAGAAAAAUAAGGGCAAGCACUAGCAAUCUUGUUGCAUAGAUAAGAUUUCUUAUGAACUAUGAUUAUUUUCAUCUUUUGGUCUGAACUAUCAAGAUGUGUGUGUUUCUCUUUGCCUUAAACAAAGAUAUCAAGGCAGAGAGAGCUGCAUGACAUGGAACAUGAUCCGUGAAAACAACAUCCUUGUUGUAGAAGAGAAAAUUAUUUGUUCUAGAACAUACGGCAAAAGAAAAUGAUCUUGUUACUGAGUCCCGUUCAUGCAUCUAGUAUGUACAACUGCAGACAAACAGAAAAAUAUCUGAAAAGCUCCAAAAGCUCGCAGACAAAAAAACUCAACAAUUUGUACAGUACCGACCAAACAAAUCGUUCAGAUAUUUAGUGGAACAACAGACAAAGUUAGUCCCAACUCCCAAAUAAUGAUCAUCCAAGGCAUGCAUGCAUAUCUACGAAAAAACAGAUCUGAAUCAACGGAAUUCUAAAGAGUACUUCCGCGAUUGUGUAAUCACUAGUAUUAUGGGCACGGAGAGCCAAGGAAAGAUGCAAUUAGCUGCGUGUAAAACGCUGAGGUUUCUACAAGAUUCACGUCAAAGUUUCAAAUCCUUGCUGCUCCUAACCUCUUAGAGAGAUUGGAACAUACCAAAAUCGUAAACCCAGAUUAAAAUCAUAAAGCAUAUCUAAAAGGUAAACAUAUUAUGAGAUAGAAAGUUAGAAACAUACUUGAUCCAGACGAUUUGGAAUUCUAGACGCAGAGGAGAUUAGAACCGCGCCGGUAGAAAAGCCAAGAAACAAAGUCUUGCAGGAAGGUUCUGAGAAGAAUCGAAGGUGAGCGGCGGUAGUGGGAGAGUGGGGAGGAAGAAAUAGUAUUGGAUGCGCAAACACCACGCUAGGAGGUAUUUAUAGGCGCUCCACGGUGGGAUCUUUCUCCGAUUCCCGAAAGGGUACCGAUUUUGCACCCGCUGAACAAGGGUCCCAGCAGGGGCUAGUUCGUCAAUAUUUAUUACUCGUAUUGUUUUCUGUUCUUAGCGGGUCAAAAAUACUUUUUUAGUCGCCUUGCAUCACAAGUCUCAUUCGAAAUGGAAAGAACAAGGAUUUGCACUGGCUCUAUAUUGGACGCUUCCUCGAGCCCCGAUGUGAUGAUCGACCUCGCCACUAGGCGAUUGCGAGGCUCCGGUUUUCCACAGGCUCUCAAAUUUUUCAUACAAACAUUUGUGCUGGGAAAUAGGCUCUGAGUUGUUCCACUCCAUAUUCUAAAUUUUGAUUGUAUCGGAUGAAUUUUCCAUUUCGAAACAAAUAUAUUCAGUUGAUAUUUUGAUAUUGAUAGCGUGCAAAUUAUAUAGUUCUUUUACAUGUAAAUCCUUGUAGUAUUAUUUUUCCUCUACCAACUACCGCCGAUCAAGUCGAUCACGUCAGCCCCUCCCCCUCGCGUUGCCUCCCCUCAGGCGGCGCCAGGGGACCCCAAUCCCGCGCCGCCAACCCCUCCCCUCUCCUCCAUCCCCAGCCGCCGUUGCCGCUGGCAAGGGCCGCGGUGGCGGCGGGCCCUGCAUGAUCCAGGACGGGUGGUGGCUGCGGCAGAUCCGGUGAGACGGAGGCGGCGUCUCACGUGGAGGCCGGGGGCGGCAAUCAGGGGAGCGCCCCUGCUGCGCGGUGGCGAUGGGCAGGGGCGGAGCUGGGCCCCGGGCAUCCAGGGCCCAGGCCCGGGGCGUGGAGAGAUUAAUAGACUGUAAUCAAGUAAGUUUUUCUGCAGGCCCGGGUUGCAGCCCAGCGAAAAGAAGAAGGCCCAAAGCUUUGAUGGGCUGUCGCACGCAGGAGGAAAAACUCCACCCCCACGAUCUAGCACGCACGAGGCACAAGAGACUCAUCGCUGUUGGUAAAAAAAUAACAUGAAACUCUCGCGCAGCCGCCGCCAGUCGCACGGACGCAGGACGGCAAGAUCGAUCUCCACUUCUCCAGGAGGGACUCCAACGCCCGCGCCGCCGUCCACCGUGGCUACGCGCCUCCGCUCCCGGCCCACCCAUUGCCCCCCUUGCCUCCCGGACCUGCUCGUCGUUCACACGCGUGUGCUGCUUCACUGCCGUCUGCCGCAGCUUGUACUUGUAAUUUUCUUUGAUGCUUUCCCUGUUUCCCCCUUAUGCCUUCUACUUAUACUAGAUGACCAGUUGCGCCAAUGACGCAAAGGCCAAGAGUAAACCAUGUAUUAAAAGAGUGUACAUUAAUAUUAUUCGGGCACAUAUUAAAAUAUAUGAAGAAAAAAAUCCACUUACUAUAAAUACAAGUGAUACAAUACCCAUAUAAUGUUCAAGGAAAUAUCCGUAUAAACAGAACCGUUAAUUAGUCAGACACAAAUCCACACCCGAGAAGCACACUGCACAGGGUUGAAACUUUUAAGCCUCACAUUCCCAAGCAAUCUUAAGGAGGGCCAACAGAAUUGAAAUCACAGAUGCAAAGUAUCAGCAGUUAGUAAUAUUUAUACACACAGCUUCUUUAUUGUAGUCAUAUGAUGAUGAAAUCAGUACGUAAAUCAGCACCAAGGAUAGCCGAUCAGACAAACAAAAAUUCUGCAUCCCGCUGAAAAACACUAUUAUGCAAGACUCAUUUUAAAAGGCCCUCAGUUCUAAUUUCUAUAAGAGCUUGAAGCUUUGGAGCCAAGGCUACGAACCUUCAAAUCCAACCAAACAUCUUACCAUGCAAACACGGUAAAAUGGGAAAGAAAGACUAAAUGUGACGCACCAAAAGCGGAAGAAAAUGUUGAACGACCUGGGCGUGAGGAUUGUGCCGGUGACCUGGUGACGCCGAGCAGCGCGUGGAUGUGGACCAGGAUGACGGUGGUGGCGGCGCCCUCCUCGUCGACCUUCAGCAGCUCGCUAGAGUCUACAAUGCUCAUACUUUGCAUCAAGUAAACCCAUCUCACUAAGAACGGGAAUGAGCAUCGCCCUUUGGCAUGCUCUGCCUUUGGCAUGAUCUUGAUAGCAUCCGCUUCCUACAAUAGAACAUGCAAAGAGAACAUAAUGAGGAUAAUAUUAUGCAUGCACCACUCUGCACAAAAACCUCUCCAAGGAAGCAGCUUUUAUUACUCUACCUCCAGUUCUCUAGCUUUCAAUAUUAAAGGAAAAAAGCAAUUCCCACUAAUUGUAUAGCACAUAGAUAAACCCCAGAUUACAAUACACAAAACAGAGCAAAACUUCUUCAUAAUUCAAUUAAAAUGAGGCCAUAUGCAUCAUGAUUAAAGUUGCUCCCUGUAUUGUAUAUACAACCAUGAUUCAAAGUGCUCCUUGUACUGUAUAUACAACCAUGUAUAUACAACUAUAUCAUUUAUAGGCCAUGUAUAUACAACUUAAGAAAACAUAAAUACAUAACUGCAUAUGCAUCUGCAUAUAACAAAGCAGGUGAUCCAAUCUACAAAUAUUACAAUAGCAAUUGUGGCAGCACAAAAAGUGUAAUUGGACAUCACCAUUUAACAACUAAGGCUAUAAAAUAAUAGAUGAUUAUGCAGAUAGCAAAGAAAGAUUCAACAUUAUUGUGUCAUUGACAACUUUUUCAGGUAGUAGCAAAUCAACAUAUCUGCUGCUAAUAGAAACAGAAUCCGGAUCUCCUUUAGGGAGGAGCACAUACAGAGAAGAGAAGGAGUAGGUGUUCGUCACCAGAUGAUCAUUUUGCUCGGAGACAAAGAUGAGGAACUGGACCCAGCCGAUAGGUCGUUCUUGGUUUCCAUGUCUAGUUGGGUUAAUUCAGAAUCUGUUUAGAUCUUUUCUACACUACUGCCAUGCUGUGCUAUAAGCCAAAACCAGAUAACCAGGUCAAAAUCCUAGCUGUGACUUUAACGGUUCUGUUGGAAAUAUGCCCUAGAGGCAGUAAUAAAAUGGUUAUUAUUAUA
This 6935-nucleotide long non-coding RNA is filed under the name Triticum aestivum (bread wheat). RNAcentral describes it as "long non-coding RNA (TAES_LNC004523)". The record is from RNAcentral. Lineage: Eukaryota; Viridiplantae; Streptophyta; Magnoliopsida; Poales; Poaceae.